RNAcentral lists this ribosomal RNA (494 nucleotides) under uncultured bacterium. Its description in RNAcentral is "partial 16S ribosomal RNA". It matches the Rfam family "Bacterial small subunit ribosomal RNA", at positions 28 to 507 of the family's 1533-position model. The record is from RNAcentral.
GACGAACGCUGGCGGCGUGCUUAACACAUGCAAGUCGAACGGUGAAGCGCCUUCCUUUUUGGUUGGUGUGGAUGAGUGGCGAACGGGUGAGUAACACGUGCGUAACCUGCCCCCUUCUUCUGGAUAACCGCAUGAAAGUGUGUCUAAUACGGGAUAUUCUGGGUCUGUCGCAUGAUGGGUCUGGGAAAGAUAUUGUUUCGGUGGGGGCUGGGCUGGCGGCGUAUCAGCUUGUUGGUGUGUUGAUGGCCUACCAAGGCGGUGGCGGGUAGCCGGCCUGAGAGGGUGGACGGCCUGAGUGGGACUGAGACACGGCCGAGACUCAGACGGGAGGCAGCAGUGUGGAAUAUGGCACAAUGGGGGAAAGCGUGAUGCAGCGACGCCGCGUGAGGGAUGAAGGCCUGCGGGUUGUGAACCUCUUUCGCUAGUGAAGCAGGCCUGCCUCGUUUGUGGGUGGGUUGACGGUAGCUGGAUAAGAAGCGCCGGCUAACUACGUG